GAUGAAGAACGCAGCGAAAUGCGAUAAGUAAUGCGAAUUGCAGAAUUUCCGUGAGUCAUCGAAUCUUUGAACGCACAUUGCGCCCACUGGUAUUCCGAGGGGCAUGCCUGUUCGAGCGUCAUUAUAACCCCUCAAGCUCAGCUUGGUGUUGGGGCCUGCUGCACUGGCAGCCCUUAAAAUCAGUGGCGGCGCCAUCUGGCUCUAAGCGUAGUAAUUCUUCUCGCUAUGGAGUCCUGGUGGAUGCUUGCCAUCAACCCCCAAUUUUUCUAUGGUUGACCUCGGAUCAGGUAGGGAUACCCGCUGAACUUAAGCAUAUCAAUAAGCGGAGGA
Molecule: unclassified non-coding RNA, 330 nt
Filed under: soil metagenome
Description: partial contains 5.8S ribosomal RNA, internal transcribed spacer 2, and large subunit ribosomal RNA
Rfam family: 5.8S ribosomal RNA (bases 1-121)
Source: RNAcentral